UAGCUCAGUUGGUAGAGCAGUUGACUUUUAAUCAAUUGGUCGCAGGUUCGAAUCCUGCACGACCCACCAAUUCAUCGGUGGACCAUGAUAGUGAGACGUGAAGGAUAACGUUGCGACAGCAACGGCCCGUAGGGCGAGGCAAAGCCGAGUCAUCCUGCACGACCCACCA
RNAcentral lists this small RNA (169 nucleotides) under Enterobacter kobei. Its description in RNAcentral is "RtT sRNA". The stretch from base 1 to 66 matches the Rfam family "tRNA". The record is from RNAcentral. Lineage: Bacteria; Pseudomonadati; Pseudomonadota; Gammaproteobacteria; Enterobacterales; Enterobacteriaceae.